AGUCAAGUAUGACUGCCACAGAGAAAUGGUCCCAUCCAGGAAAUCAGAUAUUGAGUCCUACCUGAGUUUCCAGCAAGAAGGUACGGACUUGCUGUUAGGAUGGGAAUUAUGGAUCAGGAAUUGCCCUGAGAUGGGGUCCUGGUAACAGAUAGACUCUAGGAUAGGAUUCCCUCCUGGGGAUUGCGGCAGAGUGUACUUGCAAGUGGAGCCUUGAAGGUGUCUUUGCUCAGUUCAAAAGCCACAGAAGAAGUUCUGGACGAUGUGGGCCUUCAAUCUUCUAAGAUGGGAAUAGAAAGAAGAGGAUCUACCCAGACCAGGACCCUGCUGCCCAAUCUCAGCUCUGGCUUUCUGGAUCUGUGCUUCUCUGGUAGAGGAACCCUGAGGACUGAUCUACUCUUGCAGUUCUAAAACCAUGGCCCAUGACAUGACUUUUCUAAGCCAGAUGUAAUUACAUCAUUGGAGCAAGGAAAAGAGCCCUGGAUGAUUGUAAGGGAAGAAAAAGGAAGAUGGUGUACAGGCCUCGCUAUUCCCUGGGACACAACAAUAUUGAACGUAGG
Long non-coding RNA from Homo sapiens (human), 557 nucleotides. Lineage: Eukaryota; Metazoa; Chordata; Mammalia; Primates; Hominidae. The record is from Ensembl.